UAUCUGGUUGAUCCUGCCAGUAGUCUAUUUGGUUGAUCAAAGCUGUAGUCAUGCGCUUGUAUGUAAGAUUAAGCCAAGCAUGUGUAAGUGUAAAUGUAGUAUUUAGGCACUGAGAAUGGCUCAUUAUGUCAGUUAUAGUUUAUUAGGUGAAGGAUUUUUAGAGGAUAUCCGUAGUACUUAUAGGGAUAAUACAUGGGGAAGCAUUUUUGGAGGAAAGUUUAUUAGAAUGAAAUCCAUAUUGUUCGGCAUGAUCAUGAGUAAUAGUAAGAUCGCGUAUCCCAUGCGCGAGUAGCGAUGAGUUUAAAAUUUUUCCGCCUUAUCAGCUGUCGAUGGUAUGUUAUCGGCCUACCAUGGCAGUGACGGGUAAAGAAGAAGGUGGGUUUUCUUUAGGAGAGGCAGCAUGAGAGAUGGCUACCACAACCAAGGACGGCAGCCGGCGAAUUAAUUACCCCAUCCUGACGCAAGGUGGUAGCGACAAUAAAUCACAAUGGGGUACAUUAGUCUGGUAAUUGGAAUGAGUACAAUGUAAAUCCCUUAUCGAGGAUCCAUUGGAGGGCAAGUCUGGUGCCAGCAGCCGCGGUAAUCCAGUUCCCAAUUGGAUAU
RNAcentral lists this ribosomal RNA (603 nucleotides) under Blastocystis sp. subtype 1 strain chimp23. RNAcentral's name for it is "SSU rRNA". It matches the Rfam family "Eukaryotic small subunit ribosomal RNA", at positions 1 to 602 of the family's 1831-position model. Lineage: Eukaryota; Bigyra; Opalinata; Blastocystidae. The record is from RNAcentral.